RNAcentral lists this ribosomal RNA (115 nucleotides) under Escherichia coli. The record is from RNAcentral. Lineage: Bacteria; Pseudomonadati; Pseudomonadota; Gammaproteobacteria; Enterobacterales; Enterobacteriaceae.
CCUGGCGGCAGUAGCGCGGUGGUCCCACCUGACCCCAUGCCGAACUCAGAAGUGAAACGCCGUAGCGCCGAUGGUAGUGUGGGGUCUCCUUGCGGCGCAGGCUGGGCUUCCGGGA